Molecule: ribosomal RNA, 332 nt
Filed under: uncultured bacterium
Lineage: Bacteria
Description: bacterial SSU rRNA
Rfam family: Bacterial small subunit ribosomal RNA
Source: RNAcentral
CGCGUAGGUGGGAUAGUAAGUCUGCUUUAAAAGUGCGGGGCUCAACCCCGUGAUGGGGUGGAAACUGCUAUUCUUGAGUGCAGGAGAGGAAAGCGGAAUUCCCAGUGUAGCGGUGAAAUGCGUAGAUAUUGGGAGGAACACCAGUGGCGAAGGCGGCUUUCUGGACUGUGUCUGACACUGAGGCGCGAAAGCUAGGGGAGCGAACGGGAUUAGAUACCCCGGUAGUCCUAGCCGUAAACGAUGGGUACUAGGUGUAGGGGGUAUCGACCCCCCCCUGUGCCGGAGUUAACGCAAUAAGUACCCCGCCUGGGGAGUACGGCCGCAAGGUUGAA